UCAGACAUUUUAAUUAUUUAGAAUAUAAUGGCGAAUCAUCGGAGAAAAUAGGUCACAUAAAAACGGGUAGCUUUAGCCCCGUAAUGCAACAGCUUUGAACGUCUGCAUAUGAAUGGUACGCUGCUUUUAAAUAGAAGAAAUCAAUAAAUGGUCCGCGUUUGCAUCCCUCCAAUCAGCAUUGAAUUGGGGCGCAAUGUAGUUCCGCCUUUAGUAAACAUAAUUACGCGAUUUUUUGCUCCUUCAUCCGGAUGAGGAAAAAACCUUCUCGUGAAUCCACUUGCAUCUUAUAAUCAUUCGUCAAUGUUCGCGAAAAGUGGUGAUAUUUCGCGAAAAUGAUGGAAAGCAAAUUUUUCGUUAUUACGUUACAUAUGUCGCAAGUUAUACGUAGAAUAUUCGUAAGAGUUCGAUUUUAUAGCAUCUCGAAUGAGUAGUUGGAAAUAAUUGUUUUUGAAAAAAAAAAUUCCAUCGCGAUGUUUAUUUUUUUUGGUGUACGCAAAUAGACUUAAAAUACGUUGUUUUGCGAGUGGAUAGGUGUAGGUAACCAAAUUUAUAAGCAACUUAACGUAAGCUACGCAAUUCAGAUCAAUAUUUUCCAGGUAUCGUUGCAGUUCUUCGUUGAUUUUUUUUGUCUUAAGUUCAUACACGUGUUAAUAUAACAGGUAGCACGUCACAUGUUGAUAUAGAAAAAAAGCUUCUCAGUAUCAAAGGUUAAGUACCUAUACGAAGAAUAUCAUUAUAAAAAAAAAAAUAAGUUCACUUCGAUCGAUAAAAGAAAAGACAAGUGGAAUGGAUAUUUAUCAAAAAAAUGAUGCCUAUACAUUCAAUUUUGGAAUUCCUUGGAGCAUUGAAAUUGAAAAAAAAGGUAACUUACCCAGUUAUUUCAUCAGAAUCGUGAUUGCAACCUUGCAUUUUUUUUACUGUAACAAUAAGUAGGUAGAUUUUCGUUGCGAAAAUGUAUGUAAAACCGAACACAAGGUAAUAAGUAUUAUAUAAAAACUAUGGGUAACUCGGCAUCUAUAGUUUCAUAUUUCAAGACGAACUUGGGGUUGUAUUCCAUACUUCUCGUCUAGUGUUGGAUUCUUCAGCACUGAUCAUUCAGAAUACAAGUUUCAUUGAAAUAACACUCGUUCGAUCAUGAAAAGUCAAUAUGUUAUGUUCUAUUUUUCUAAUCAAACUAACGUUAUUUUUUUCUACCUUUGAUGCGCCUUAUCAACUGUAAGUUAAUGAUCACAACGUCUCGAAUAAUUACGCGUAGAAAUGUUAAUAAUUUUAAUAAUUUGUAAUUUUAUCUUAAUAUUCACCUGUUUAGCAAAUACAUUUUUUCAAGUGCCGUGCAGUGUUAACAAAAUGCGCCUAAUUGAGUACUGAUUUCAUUUUGGCGAUCAGAUGGUUAUUUGAAUGUCUAGCACCACUUGAAAUCAGUUCUUUACAAAGGCUAAUUCUACUAGAAGAAGUUUGUCACCAUCUGGGAUUUUUCAUGCAACAUUAUGAAUAUCAUAACUCCGGGAGAAAAUGUGAAGAAAGAUGAUAAUUAUCUAGUGUACAUAAUCACAUUUUGAACAGUCUGAAUUGAUUCUUUUGACUUGUACUUAGUUACUCUACUCAGCUACCGACAUUUCUUUUUUUUGAAUAAUAUCGAUUUUUAUAGAAAUCAUUUCAUGUAAGUUUUAAUGUUCAUUUGAAUUAUUAUGUUUUUAUGAGUUUGAAUUUGUUUUGCAAUUAAUUAAUUAAUUAUCUAUUGCUUACUUAGGGACAGUUUUAUUUUUAUUUUUUUCAGAAAUAAUUAGUUCUACAUACGAGCAAAAAGUUGAAUGUCCUGUGUUUCAGUUCAGCAAUCUUGCUUGGACUUUUUUUUUUUUUAGCGAAUUUUACAAUUUUACCUUUUGUAUUUGUGAACAAAAUAUACCGCUACUUACAAUA
Planococcus citri (citrus mealybug) is the source of this 1920-nucleotide long non-coding RNA. RefSeq lists it as uncharacterized. The record is from RefSeq and is a predicted model, not a curated record. The transcript is spliced from 3 exons. Lineage: Eukaryota; Metazoa; Arthropoda; Insecta; Hemiptera; Pseudococcidae.